Pseudopipra pipra is the source of this 614-nucleotide long non-coding RNA. RefSeq lists it as uncharacterized. The transcript has 2 exons. The record is from RefSeq and is a predicted model, not a curated record. Lineage: Eukaryota; Metazoa; Chordata; Aves; Passeriformes; Pipridae.
AGAAGAGAGUGAACUCUGUUCACGAGUAAAGAGGAAAAACAAAGAAAUCAGCUUAUGUAACCUACAAACUGCUGGAGAAAGGAGGAGGAGGGACUACAAGCUCCCACACCAUGUGAUCCCUGGCUGGCACACUUUCAUCUCAGCAGGAGAAAAACUGGGAUUUAAAUCCAGCCCUGUCAAUUUGGAUAAUGUGAAUCAGAAUAUAGCAGCCAGCUUGCCAUUUGCUCCAGCUGAGGUCAUCUUCAACCUCUGCAUUGGUCCAAACCACAUCACCAGCCACUUGUGGUCCGCACAUUCAAGGCUGUGCAGGAGCUCAGCGCUGCAGAACUGCUUUGAAGGACAAGUACCAAGGGUUACAGGGAACACACUUGCAAAACAAUCCAUGAAUAUCUGUUUUUCACCCAGGGGACAGCCCUCUGGAACAGGACAGCUAAUUAUUUCCUUUCUAUUACAGAUGUUGAAUGGCAGGGGGUACUGCCAAAAAAGGGAAAAAAACCCCCAAGUACUCCUCCAGUUAUUUCAGCACUUCGGUCUGUUUUGUUCUUGAGAUGAGCAGAUACAAGCUCCCUGUAUAUGCAUUUGAAAUCUAAAUGGAACCCAUUUUUACCACUUUG